This 89-nucleotide transfer RNA is filed under the name Mycolicibacterium hassiacum DSM 44199. Its description in RNAcentral is "tRNA-Ala(ggc)". The record is from RNAcentral. Lineage: Bacteria; Bacillati; Actinomycetota; Actinomycetes; Mycobacteriales; Mycobacteriaceae.
GGCCGCCGCGGCGGGGGCGCCCCGGUCGCCGGCGGCGGCCGCGGAGUCCAGCGCGGCCAGCGUCGCCGGGUCCGCGCUGGCGGCGGCCA